GAAAAGAAAAUUAAUUGAAAAAUAAACUAGGGGCUCAAUCACUUCUCAGUCUCCAAACUUUGGUCGAUCCGAUGGCGUCUCCAAUCGAGCUCCUCCUGCCUGGAUUUCAUAAUUUGCUGUUUUGAUUAUGGAACUAGUGAUUCAUUUGUGCGCGCGGUGGACGAAGGAGGAAGCGCAGCGGUGGAGGAGGAUGUGGCCGCAGAGCAGUGGUUGGGGUUGGGAGCUCAUCUUGUAAGUUGAUAAUGCAGCAGCGCCAUUAGCAGUCUCAGAUCGGAACUGUUCCUCAGCUUCUUGCCGGUGAAGUUUCCGGUGCCGUCAACAAGACAUGCACUGCACCCCUUAUUAUUCUCUUUCAGGAAUGCACACGGAUGCUGGUAGCUUAAAAAGGGCAAGUAUAAUGCAAGAGGCAUCACGUAUUGUACAUGAAGAAGGGUAUCAGGCAUUUUAGAAGGGGAAUUUGGUCACACUUUCUCAACGCUUCCAUAUUCCUAUGUCAGCUUCUAUGCAUUUUUGAACACUACAAGAAUGUCGGUACAAACCUUCCGUGAAUUCUAUAUUUUAAAGUAUAUUACUGAGCGCCAAUAAUUUCUGUAGCUUGUCUGUCUAAAUUUUUUCUUGUUAUAUAGACAAAUAAAGGUGUUGUAGUUGAUUUUGGGAGUUGAAAGCCAAGGAGAGAAUAUAACUGCAGACUUUUGUAUACGACUUGUAGGCGGUGGAUUAUCUGGGAUAACAGCUGCUUCUGUUACAUACCCCUUGGAUCAUGUUAGUACGCGUGUUGCAGCUGGCAUUUUCAUCUGGAUUGGGUAACAGUUUUGGUUUUGGAAACAUCUUUAUUUGCUAAUCAAAUGUAUUUUUAAAAUGGCGUGGAGACAAAGUCCAAAGGGGGAAAAGGGGAUCAAAAGAGCUACUUUUAAUGGUGUGUUAGGAGAAAGUUUUUGUUCAGUAAUUGAAACAGUUAUGAUCUUGAUAACCUGAACCAAGUUUUUCGGUUUUCCUUUUUUGUUAUGUUCUAAUUUGCCUUCAUCUUAGUGAUU
Long non-coding RNA from Nicotiana attenuata, 1034 nucleotides. RefSeq lists it as uncharacterized. The transcript is spliced from 3 exons. Lineage: Eukaryota; Viridiplantae; Streptophyta; Magnoliopsida; Solanales; Solanaceae. The record is from RefSeq and is a predicted model, not a curated record.